UCCUCUCUGAGCUCAAACUUGAAAGUUGGUAUGAUUCACAGGAUUGGACAGGGCCCAACAGAGAUGCAUCUCGUGUUUUCUGGACAGGGCCUAGAUUCAAGCGGAGCUGAAAGAACUGGAGUCUAUUGGCCUGAUUACCCAUGACCCAAAAUCUUCUAGAACAAGGAGAGUCAGCACAUACUGAGUGCUAACGAAGUGCCAAGCACUGUCCUUAAAACUCCUGCUCUCCCAGCCCUGUGGGGAAGGGACCCUAGGCUAUUCCAGGAAGGGCCAGAAACUUGGAACUCUAGACACUCACUUCCCUACUAUCAGAACCAGCUCUGCCAAGCGGUGCCCACACGUGUUUUGUGUCUGUGUGGUGCUGAAGGUACAAGCCACAUUACAGAGGCCCGGUCUGGAGGAAUCACGAGCGUCUCGGGUAGAAAAUGGAGACGAUCCCGCUGCAGAAGCAAGUCCUCUGGCUUUCAGAAGGCCUGAGGCACUGCAGAGGCUACCAGGAUUGCUUCAGCUCCUUCACACUGCUUCUCGGUGUCAGCAUCUGUUUGGUCUGAGAUCACUACAGUGCAUGAUGUCAAGUACACGGUUUGGAUGGAGACCUGGACCCCAAGGAAAAGAAAUGGCUAUACAUCAAACUGUCUACGUUACAGAGAAAUCCAGGACGCAGCACAGCACUGGACUCGUGGGUAGCAGAUGGUCCAUUUCAACAGACUGUAAUUCUGUGACUACGUUUCCACCCUCAGACAUGCCCUUCUGUGGAAACUGUUGGUUGCUGCGAGAGAAAGCACACUCAAGCCCAGCUGGAAAGUCCCAGGAUUCAGUGGAUGGUCAACUCCACCACGGCUCUGCUCUGCUCAGCUUUCCCCAAAGGACUGGUCCCUGCAGAGGACAGCCCCUGUUCCCGAGCAGACACACGCAAGAGAAAAGAAGAAGAGAAGAAAGCAUUCAGGACAUGACACUUGGAGACCACUCCAUGCACGAGACUCACAGCUGAAGCAGCAAGAGGACCCCGGCACUCAGGGACACUUCUGCCGCAGUCUGCAAUGCAGUGGCCUAAUAGAGAAGAUGUCCCAGCAAUCUUGUGAGGACAGACCUAAUACAGAAGAUGUCCCAGCAAUCUCGUGAGGACAGACCUAAUACAGAAGAUGUCCCAGUGAUCUCUGGAGGACAGACCUAAUACAGAACACGUCCCAGCGAUCUCUGGAGGACAGACCUAAUACAGCAGAUGUCCCAGCAAUCUCGUGAGGACAGACCUAAUACAGAAGAUGUCCCAGCGAUCUCUGGAGGACAGACCUAAUACAGAAGAUGUCCCAGCAAUCUCUGGAGGACAGACCUAAUACAGAAGACGUCCCAGCGAUCUCUGGAGGACAGACCUAAUACAGAAGAUUUCCCAGCGAUCUCUGGAGGACAGAUUCCCCUUUUCCUUUCCUUCCUCUUCACAUCCCACUUUGUUCCCACUCCACUUUCUUCACCUUCUUCAAACAUAAAUGGCCCCAGACUCUGUUGCAGGCACCCAGACUGCAGCGGCGAGGGGGUCGGAACACAGGCUGGCAGCAUUCUGCACUGCAGACAAAGCCAUCCAAUACAAGGGAGCAGAGGGGCACAGUUGGCAGGGUGGGCAAUGAGAGAGAACAGCGGCACACGCAUGCCACUCUAAAGAGAAGCAGGGGCUGGCCAGAAGGCUCAGUGCUUGCCUGGUGCCCCAGCUUAAUCCCCAGAAGCUGCUAUGAAGUUGAAGAAGAGAGCAGGUCCCACAGGUUGUCCUCUGACUCCACAGGGGUGUGGGCACACGCUCCUCCCCCACAGCGUGCACACAGAUCCUCUGACUCCUCAGGGGUGUGGGCACACGCUCCUCCCCCACAGCGUGCACACAGAUCCUCUGACUCCUCAGGGGUGUGGGCACACAUUCCUCCCCCACAGCAUGCACACAGAUCCUCUGACUCCACAGGGGUCUCAGCACACGCUCCUCCCCCACACCGUGCACACAGAUCCUCUGACUCCACAGGGGUCUCAGCACACGUUCCUCCCCCACAUUAGGCACACAGAUCCUCUGACUCCACAGGGGUGUCUCAGCACACGCUCCUCCCCCACAGCAUGCACACAGAUCCUCUGACUCCUCAGGGGUGUGGGCACACGCUCCUCCCCCACAUUAGGCACACAGAUCCUCUGACUCCACAGGGGUGUCUCAGCACACAUU
Molecule: non-coding RNA, 2194 nt
Organism: Peromyscus maniculatus bairdii (prairie deer mouse)
Lineage: Eukaryota; Metazoa; Chordata; Mammalia; Rodentia; Cricetidae
Source: RefSeq, a predicted model, not a curated record